CCUACGGGCGGCAGCAGUGGGGGAUAUUGCACAAUGGGGGAAACCCUGAUGCAGCGACGCCGCGUGUGGGAAGACGGUCCUCUGGAUUGUAAACCACUGUCCCCAGGGACGAAGAUGACGGUACCUGGGGAGGAAGCUCCGGCUAACUACGUGCCAGCAGCCGCGGUAAUACGUAGGGAGCGAGCGUUGUCCGGAAUUACGGGGUGGAAAGGGAGCGUAGGCGGGACUGCAAGUUGGGUGUCAAAUCUACCGGCUCAACCGGUAGCCGCACUCAAAACUGCAGUUCUUGAGUGAAGUAGAGGCAGGCGGAAUUCCUAGUGUAGCGGUGAAAUGCGCAGAUAUUAGGAGGAACACCAGUGGCGAAGGCGGCCUGCUGGGCUUUUACUGACGCUGAGGCUCGAAAGUGUGGGGAGCAAACAGGAUUAGAUACCCCUGUAGUC
This 440-nucleotide ribosomal RNA is filed under the name uncultured bacterium. RNAcentral describes it as "partial 16S ribosomal RNA". It matches the Rfam family "Bacterial small subunit ribosomal RNA", at positions 338 to 795 of the family's 1533-position model. The record is from RNAcentral.